RNAcentral lists this unclassified non-coding RNA (4911 nucleotides) under Diabrotica virgifera virgifera (western corn rootworm). RNAcentral describes it as "uncharacterized LOC126884096". Lineage: Eukaryota; Metazoa; Arthropoda; Insecta; Coleoptera; Chrysomelidae. The record is from RNAcentral.
GUUGCAUGAAAAUGGCCGAUGUAAUUGGGAUAACGCAUUUUGAUAUAAUUAAUAUUUUUAUUGAUGUAAUUAACUAAUAUAAAUAAAUCAUUCAUUAAAUGAACACACCAGACAAGCAUUCAAUCGACAUUCAUACAUAGGUUAACGGAUGUUUUGUUUAAAUCUUCAUCCCAAUUCCUCUAGUUCCAAAUAAGCGGCAGCACCCUCGCUUGAGUUCGCGAAUGCCUUUAUCUUUUAUCUUUAUGUCAGUAAAAAUGUUUAUCUGAUUGUUAGCAAUAAUAAAAAAUCCUGAUUUAGAUAAAAUGGAUUCAAAUACAGUUUUUGAAACAAAAGGAAUGUGAUUUGAAGAUCCCUAGGAAGAUCAAAUUCCUAGCUUACAUUUGCAUGGUGAGUUCAACAAGUAUUUGCUAUUAGAGAACAAGUAACACAGUUAGUGGUGUAGGGAAGCAAACGAAUGUAACACCAAUUGAAAGUCCUUCAACAAGUAGAGAUGCACACAUGUUUCAAUUAUUUGAGAUACCCUUUUGUAGAAGUAUUUGGAAGAUAUAUGACGCCGAAAGGCGCUUUUACCAUGGGGUCGGUUACCACCCCAUCUUAGGGGUGGAAAUUUUUUAUUAUGUUUUGACUGCAAAAGUUGAUAAAAACAUUUAUUCUAAGCAAAAAAUAUUCUAUACUUUUUUUUGAUAAAAUUAAUACUUUUCGAUUUAUUCGCUAUCGAAAGUGUUAGUUUUAUAUAGAAAAAAUUAAUGUUUUUCGAUAUAUACUCAUUUACCAUUCACUCAAUUUUUGCCGUAGAAAAAAUUUUUUCCAACCAAGUUCUUGGGAAUUAAAUAACCUACAAUUUCAUAUAAAAACAUUUUUUCGUAUAUCUGAUGCUAAUCUUUCUAUUUUGAAGAAAAUGACCUUUUUUACCAAACUACAAAAAGUCGUUAUUCGCUUUUAACUCUAGUUUUUUAAAAACUAAUCAUUCUAAGCCAGUCAAACUUUUAAAAUCUAUUAAUAAUACAUAAAUAAAGAAUAAUUAAUAAGGCCAAUGACUAAAAGCAAAGCUAACUUACAUUAUUAUGCUUCCAAUUGGAUUUCUUUUUUUUUUUUUGAAAAAAAUAUAUUGAUUUUUUAACCCUAACCUUUUUAAUUUUUAUCUUAGAAAGUUUGUUAAAAAAUAGUUUUGUAGGUUUUUACAAGAUCUAUAAAACUAUUAAUACCAAAUGCUUUUAAAAUCCUCAGUCGCAAAAAGUGGUGACUUUGAAAGGGUUGGUAAAGGUGCACUCAAAAAAAUUUAGUUCGUAAUAUUGAUUAACAGUGAUUAUUGAAUAGUAUUUCGUUGUCACAACAAUUUAAUUUGUUGUUUCAACGAACUUUUAGACAUUGGCGAAUGUACUUGGUUAUUGUCACAAUGAUUGAAUAAUAAUUGUGAGAAUAACUAGAGUACAUUAAUCAAUAACACUCAAUUUAUUCAGCCAAUAACUUAGUUUCGUAUAUUUAAUAAAUACUGUUAAUUGUGGCAGCAACUCACGUUCUUGAUUUCGUAGAUGACAAGCAAUUACCUUGGUUUAUUGUGACAACGUACAGAUUUCAUUAAAACAAUGUACAAAUGUUGUUAAUAUAGAGUAAUAUAUGAUUAUUGAAUAGAUGUACACUGAUUGUUGUGCCAACGAAUGCAUUAAUAAAUCUACUACUGCCUUUAAUUCUCACAAUCAAUGCGUUAAUUGUGACAAUAAUCGUGGUUGUUGGGACAAUAAAUGUUUUGCUUGACCAUUUGAAAUGUAACGGCUUUUCGUUAUCGUGAUACCCCUAGCUUCUCUGUGUUACCAUUGUUUAAAAAAGAGUUCUUUGUUAAACAAUGCUGUUACCUCUACCGAAGUGCCAAAUAAUAAUUGCAUUUUGUUUCCAAGUGUAGUCCGUAGUAGAAGGAAGAUUUCGUGUGUCUCUUAUCGUGAAAUAAGCUAGAACAUCAUGUAUCAAAAUAAUGACGGAGAAACAGAUGCCACUUACCAAAUCGGUCAGAAUUUGGCGAAUUUUCUUGGCAAUGAAUAUAUUAUGCCUCCAGAGAUGAAAAAUAAUAUAGCGCAACAAAACGAAACUGUACAACAACUCGAGUCAAUGCUGACAGAUUUAUCCAAAUGCCAUACAAAUGAUUCAAACCAAAAUCUACAUGACUACGAGAUUGAACAUCAAAGUGAAUCUGAAGUAAGCGACAUUGCUGGCACCAAUAGUAACAAGAAUUCCCAAGAUGAAAAUCUCGAAUCAAUUGAACUCAGAAAUUUAUUAAAAUUAUGGAAUAUGGAAAGUCUGACAGAUCAUUUAAUAGGUGAGAAUGUUUUUAUACCGGUGUUAAAAGUGAUUAAACGACAUCAUAUAGAGUUGCUAAUGAAAAAUUUCGAUUUGGGUACCUACAUUCUGUUUGAACAUCAACUGGAAAAUUGGAGAGAGAGUAUUGGGACUACCUUUAGUGAACCAAUGCAGGGAAAAAGCAUAUCCAUUUAGCAAUCCAAGCACUUCACCAUCUACUUCGCGAAUGACUUCCAGAGAAAGUACACCUACACGCUUUACGCCAUACGACAGACCAUCUACAUCUACCCCAGAAGAAUACGUCUCUUUGGCUGAUAUUUUGAAAACUCAAUAAAGGCUCUAUGCUUACAGAGUACUAUACAAAGUUUGAUAAGUUUAAAGAGGAGCAGCGCCUUCUUCUUGUCGGCUUAAUUGCAGGUUACUAUGAGGAAAAGUCGCUACAAUUAUCCUUAAGUGCAAGUCAACGUUUGGAACAGGAAAUUUUGGAGCGGUUCCCUACAGAAAAAUUGAACCUGAAGACAAUGCAGAAAGUAUCAUUCGGUGUUUAAAAUACGACAAUUUGAGUAUUGAAGAAUCCGACCAAUGUUGGAAGGCAUGCUCUAGAUACCGCUUGAUUGAAGUAAAGAAGCUUGCUUCAACAAAAUCCAUAAUGGAAGCAUGGCCAUUUUAUAAAAGUCCUUCAGGAUAUCGUUUGAUUGACAUGGACUUUAAAAUUGCUUUUAAUGAUAAUGAUGGCCUUAUUUUAAAUUGGGAUAAUCGUUUUGACACUCUUGUUAACUUUUUAUCGAGCGAUGGGCACAUAAAAGAUAAGAAAAUUAAAGGAAUAGUAGAAAAUGUGAGGAACACUCCUGAUUUAGCAGAAAAUGGAAAAAAUGCGGCAAUUUUUUGGGCUCUGCAUGGUUACUUUGUUCCUACAAAAUUGGUUGUGACAAAGAAGGAUGAGAGAAAGACAAAUACAAAAUACACAAUUAAAGACUCUCAAGAAUCCUUUUUAUUUAUUGGAAAAACCCAACAAGAAGUAGAAGACCACCUACUUCACCUGAAGGAUAGGAAUAUAUCUAUUCAGCCGUUUUUAUGUUGCGUCGGUGAAGAUAUAUUAAACAUUACAAACAUAUGUAUCUAUUUUGAUGAAAUACGAUACAAUUUCAAAAAUUUUGUUCGAGCCGUUGAUAUAUGUUUUAAAAUAAUUUAUUUAUUUGAUUUGGAAUUUCCACCAGCGUCUCUUACAUUUUAUAGCUUCAUCGAGAGUUAUUUUUAUAAUUUCAAGUCAAAAAAUAUGACUUCGAAAAUCCAUAUUUUAACAGACUUUUUAAAUAAUAUAUAGAUCAAAAAGAAAUGUCUUAUAGUUCCUAGUCUAGCAUAAAAUAUUAUGUUUGAAUUAUGUAGUUGUGGAAAAAUAUUGUCAUUUAUUUUUUUAAAUGUUGCAUGUUUUGUCAACUUCAUUAAGUUAAGAAACUGAAUUUUAUUAGACAUAACUUUUAACUACAACAAUUAGCCUGCUAGGAACUUGCCGUUAUUGGUCUCUAGUAGUUGUGAACCAAGAGCCUAUAAUUUCUUUAUUUUUAAAAUAUUGCAUGUUUUUCUAAAUUUAUAUCUAUCUAGUAACUAGUAACUUAUCUACUCCUACCCUACUAGUUUAUUGUGCUUAACAUCAACUUGUGUUGAAUACUAGGGCCCAAUUUUAUUAAAUUAUUUUAAAAUGCACAGGAUGCCCUAAAAUGGGUAACUCAAAUGUAGGUAGGUACGUUUUAUUUUACGGAACUCCAUAUAGCCCAAAUGGAUUGUAGUAAAAAAUAAUUUUUUUAAUCUACCUACCACACUUAUGUUUUUUAAAAUUAUUAUUAUGGGUACUUAUACUAAAUUCACAAUCAAGAUGCAGUAGAAAUAAACAAACUAAGACAUGUUAAAUACUACUAGGAGCACUACCGAAUCAUAAAUUACAAUGCAUAAACUUUGGAAAUCAUGAUUUGUGAUUUACAGUGUAUAUACAUUGUAAAUUAUGAUUCGGGAGUGCUCCUAGUAGCAUUUAACGUGUCUUGGUUUGUUUAUUUUUACUGCAUCUUGAUUGUAAAUUUAGUAUAGUACAGAUUCUCCAAAAAUUAUGUUUUUAUAUUUUUAUUCACUAUUGUGUCGCAAUGGGUAUAUAUUAACCACUUGAGUAUCAUUAGGCCUUAACUAAAAACGUGCAAUAUUAAUGAAAAAAAAAUACAACUAAUUAUUGGCUAAGCAGACUAACUGUUGUACAGUUGAGUCCGGGAAUCUUUACCCGUGCGUCAUCAUUUAAAGCAUACGAAAUAAGUCGAUGAUAAGUCGGAAAUUGAAAUUUACUAAACGCAACCGCAAGUCAUUUACUGUCACUUGCUGUUGCGUUUAGUAAAUUUCAAUUUCCGACUUAUCAUCGACUUAUUUCGUAUGCUUUAAAUGAUGACGAACGGGUAAAAAUUCGCGAACUCAACUGUAAACAAUGAUUUUUAUUAUUAAUCGUGUUAGAUGUUUUACUAAUUUAAAGUUAGCCAAGCAUGCAUUAUUUUUUUGAAAAAGAAACGACAUUUUUUGAAUGGCAAAUUAUCAUGUAUAAUUUCAAUUUAUAAAAUAUCAAAAAUAAAAUAUUAUAGGUAC